RNAcentral lists this transfer RNA (75 nucleotides) under Bacteroidia bacterium. Its description in RNAcentral is "tRNA-Lys". It matches the Rfam family "tRNA". Rfam says of the family: Transfer RNA (tRNA) molecules are approximately 80 nucleotides in length. Their secondary structure includes four short double-helical elements and three loops (D, anti-codon, and T loops). Lineage: Bacteria; Pseudomonadati; Bacteroidota; Bacteroidia. The record is from RNAcentral.
GGUUGCGUAGCUCAGUAGGUAGAGCACAUCCCUUUUAAGGAUGGGGUCCUGGGUUCGAAUCCCAGCGCAACCACC